This 509-nucleotide ribosomal RNA is filed under the name uncultured bacterium. RNAcentral describes it as "bacterial SSU rRNA". It matches the Rfam family "Bacterial small subunit ribosomal RNA", at positions 28 to 528 of the family's 1533-position model. The record is from RNAcentral.
GAUGAACGCUAGCGGGAGGCCUAAUACAUGCAAGUCGAGCGGUAGAAUGACUUCGGUUGUUUGAGAGCGGCGAACGGGUGAGUAACGCGUACACAAUCUACCUUUAAGAGGGGAAUAGCCCUGGGAAACUGGGAUUAAUGCCCCAUGGCAUCACGGGAUGGCAUCGUUUUGUGAUUAAAGCUGAGGUGCUUAAAGAUGAGUGUGCGUCUGAUUAGCUAGUUGGUACGGUAACGGCGUACCAAGGCGACGAUCAGUAGGGGGCGUGAGAGCGUGGACCCCCACACGGGUACUGAGACACGGCCCAGACUCCUACGGGAGGCAGCAGUGGGGAAUAUUGGACAAUGGGCGCAAGCCUGAUCCAGCAAUGCCGCGUGUGUGAAGAAGGCCUGCGGGUUGUAAAGCACUUUCAGUGGGGAAGAACAGGUUCGGGUCGAAUACCCGGACGCCUCGACGUUACCCACCAGAAGAAGACACCGCGUAACUCCGUGCCAGCAGCCGCGGUAAAGUAG